GGCGGACGGGUGAGUAACGCGUAAGAACUUGCCCUUUAGACUGGGAUAACAGAGGGAAACUUCUGAUAAUACUGGAUAAGUUAGUAUAUCGCAUGAUAUGCAAAAUGAAAGCUACGGCACUAAAGGAGAGCUUUGCGUCCUAUUAGCUAGUUGGUAAGGUAAGAGCUUACCAAGGCGAUGAUAGGUAGCCGGCCUGAGAGGGUGGACGGCCACAAGGGGACUGAGAUACGGCCCUUACUCCUACGGGAGGCAGCAGCC
This 258-nucleotide ribosomal RNA is filed under the name uncultured Leptotrichia sp. RNAcentral describes it as "partial 16S ribosomal RNA". It matches the Rfam family "Bacterial small subunit ribosomal RNA", at positions 97 to 355 of the family's 1533-position model. Lineage: Bacteria; Fusobacteriati; Fusobacteriota; Fusobacteriia; Fusobacteriales; Leptotrichiaceae. The record is from RNAcentral.